GAUGAACGCUGACAGAAUGCUUAACACAUGCAAGUCUUUGGCGAAUCUGUGCUUGCACAGGCUAGCCAAGGCGGACGGGUGAGUAACGCGUAAAGAACUUGCCCUGCAGACAGGGAUAACAGACGGAAACGACUGAUAACACCUGAUACAGUUGCCGGCACGCAUGUGCCUGGCAAUGAAAAGAGAUGCUGCAGGAGAGCUUUGCGUCCUAUUAGCUUGUUGGUGAGGUGACGGCUCACCAAGGCGAUGAUAGGUAGCCGGCCUGAGAGGGUGAACGGCCACAAGGGGACUGAGAUACGGCCCUUACUCCUACGGGAGGCAGCAGUGGGGAAUAUUGGACAAUGGGGGCAACCCUGAUCCAGCAAUUCUGUGUGCACGAAGAAGGUUUUCGGAUUGUAAAGUGCUUUCAGCAGGGAAGAAGAAAGUGACGGUACCUUCAGAAGAAGCGACGGCUAAAUACGUG
RNAcentral lists this ribosomal RNA (463 nucleotides) under uncultured bacterium. RNAcentral's name for it is "partial 16S ribosomal RNA". It matches the Rfam family "Bacterial small subunit ribosomal RNA", at positions 28 to 507 of the family's 1533-position model. The record is from RNAcentral.